GCUGCGUGCCUUUAGAGAUUUUUCCCCGAGUCAAACCCGGAUGGACUUGCGAGCGAUAAUUAUGAGGCUGACUUGCAUGUUUUCCUUCAUCCUGCUGUUUGGAGUGGCUGGCCUUGUCAUCUUCAUUCACCUGCAGGAUCCGGCUGACAUAAUUCACCAGCAGACACCAGCUUUCCUUGACAAGAAAACUCACCGUGGUCCAUCCCCUCCCUAUUAA
Molecule: long non-coding RNA, 217 nt
Filed under: Ornithorhynchus anatinus (platypus)
Lineage: Eukaryota; Metazoa; Chordata; Mammalia; Monotremata; Ornithorhynchidae
Description: lncRNA (ENSOANG00000048731.1)
Source: RNAcentral